CCCCUCUCAGGAUCGCAACUGGAGAGUUUCCAGUACCUUACCAGACAUGACUAUGGGAGGGAGAGUCAAGCAGAAGCCUACCUAUUCCAUUCCUAGCUUGGGCUGUGGCUAGCAAAUGGAAGACAAUCUGCUACAAGU
Small nucleolar RNA from Ornithorhynchus anatinus (platypus), 138 nucleotides. The record is from RefSeq and is a predicted model, not a curated record. NCBI's taxonomy places the organism in Eukaryota, Metazoa, Chordata, Mammalia, Monotremata, Ornithorhynchidae.